RNAcentral lists this ribosomal RNA (2940 nucleotides) under Escherichia coli. RNAcentral's name for it is "23S ribosomal RNA". It matches the Rfam family "Bacterial large subunit ribosomal RNA". The record is from RNAcentral. Lineage: Bacteria; Pseudomonadati; Pseudomonadota; Gammaproteobacteria; Enterobacterales; Enterobacteriaceae.
GGGUUGUGAGGUUAAGCGACUAAGCGUACACGGUGGAUGCCCGGCAGUCAGAGGCGAUGAAGGACGUGCUAAUCUGCGAUAAGCGUCGGUGAGGUGAUAUGAACCGUUAUAACCGGCGAUUUCCGAAUGGGGAAACCCAGUGUGAUUCGUCACACUAUCAUUAACUGAAUCCAUAGGUUAAUGAGGCGAACCGGGGGAACUGAAACAUCUAAGUACCCCGAGGAAAAAGAAAUCAACUGAGAUUCCCCAGUAGCGGCGAGCGAACGGGGAGGAGCCCAGAGCCUGAAUCAGUGUGUGUGUUAGUGGGAAGCGUCUGGAAAGGCGUGCGAUACAGGUGACAGCCCCGUACACAAAAAAAAAUGCACAUGUGUGAGCUCGAUGAGUAGGGCGGGACACGUGGUAUCCUGUCUGAAUAUGGGGGACCAUCCUCCCAAGGCUAAAUACUCCUGACUGACCGAUAGUGAACCAGUACCGUGAGGGGAAAGGCGAAAAGAACCCCGGCGAGGGGAGUGAAAAGAACCUGAAACCGUGUACGUACAAGCAGUGGGAGCCUCUUAAUGGGGUGACUGCGUACCUUUUGUAUAAUGGGUCAGCGACUUAUAUUCUGUAGCAAGGUUAACCGAAUAGGGGAGCCGAAGGGAAACCGAGUCUUAACUGGGCGUUAAGUUGCAGGGUAUAGACCCGAAACCCGGUGAUCUAGCCAUGGGCAGGUUGAAGGUUGGGUAACACUAACUGGAGGACCGAACCGACUAAUGUUGAAAAAAAUUAGCGGAUGACUUGUGGCUGGGGUGAAAGGCCAAUCAAACCGGGAGAUAGCUGGUUCUCCCCGAAAGCUAUUUAGGUAGCGCCUCGUGAAUUCAUCUCGGGGUAGAGCACUGUUUCGGCAAGGGGUCAUCCCGACUUACCAACCCGAUGCAAACUGCGAAUACCGGAGAAUGUUAUCACGGGAGACACACGGCGGGUGCUAACGUCCGUCGUGAAGAGGGAAACAACCCAGACCGCCAGCUAAGGUCCCAAAGUCAUGGUUAAGUGGGAAACGAUGUGGGAAGGCCCAGACAGCCGGGGAUGUUGGCUUAGAAGCAGCCAUCAUUUAAAGAAAGCGUAAUAGCUCACUGGUCGAGUCGGCCUGCGCGGAAGAUGUAACGGGGCUAAACCAUGCACCGAAGCUGCGGCAGCGACACUAUGUGUUGUUGGGUAGGGGAGCGUUCUGUAAGCCUGUGAAGGUGGCCUGUGAGGGUUGCUGGAGGUAUCAGAAGUGCGAAUGCUGACAUAAGUAACGAUAAAGCGGGUGAAAAGCCCGCUCGCCGGAAGACCAAGGGUUCCUGUCCAACGUUAAUCGGGGCAGGGGUGGAGUCGACCCCUAAGGCGAGGCCGAAAGGCGUAGUCGAUGGGAAACAGGUUAAUAUUCCUGUAUUUGGUGUUACCGCGAAGGGGGGACGGAGAAGGCUAUGUUGGCCGGGCGACGGUUGUCCCGGUUUAAGCGUGUAGGCUGGUUUUCCAGGCAAAUCCGGAAAAUCAAGGCUGAGGCGUGAUGACGAGGCACUACGGUGCUGAAGCGACAAAUGCCCCUGUUUCCGGGAAAAGCCCUCUAAGCAUCAGGUAACAUCAAAUCGUACCCCAAACCGACACAGGUGGUCAGGGUAGAGAAUACCAAGGCGCUUGAGAGAGAACUCGGGUGAAGGAACUAGGCAAAAUGGUGCCGUAACUUCGGGAGAAGGCACGCUGAUAUGUAGGUGAAGCGACUUGCUCGUGGAGCUGAAAUCAGUCGAAGAUACCAGCUGGCUGCAACUGUUUAUUAUUAAAAACACAGCACUGUGCAAACACGAAAGUGGACGUAUACGGUGUGACGCCUGCCCGGUGCCGGAAGGUUAAUUGAUGGGGUUAGCGGUAACGCGAAGCUCUUGAUCGAAGCCCCGGUAAACGGCGGCCGUAACUAUAACGGUCCUAAGGUAGCGAAAUUCCUUGUCGGGUAAGUUCCGACCUGCACGAAUGGCGUAAUGAUGGCCAGGCUGUCUCCACCCGAGACUCAGUGAAAUUGAACUCGCUGUGAAGAUGCAGUGUACCCGCGGCAAGACGGAAAGACCCCGUGAACCUUUACUAUAGCUUGACACUGAACAUUGAGCCUUGAUGUGUAGGAUAGGUGGGAGGCUUUGAAGUGUGGGACGCCAGUCUGCAUGGAGCCGACCUUGAAAUACCACCCUUUAAUGUUUGAUGUUCUAACGUGGGCCCCUUUACCGGGGUUGCGGACAGUGUCUGGUGGGUAGUUUGACUGGGGCGGUCUCCUCCUAAAGAGUAACGGAGGAGCACGAAGGUUGGCUAAUCCUGGUCGGACAUCAGGAGGUUAGUGCAAUGGCAUAAGCCAGCUUGACUGCGAGCGUGACGGCGCGAGCAGGUGCGAAAGCAGGUCAUAGUGAUCCGGUGGUUCUGAAUGGAAGGGCCAUCGCUCAACGGAUAAAAGGUACUCCGGGGAUAACAGGCUGAUACCGCCCAAGAGUUCAUAUCGACGGCGGUGUUUGGCACCUCGAUGUCGGCUCAUCACAUCCUGGGGCUGAAGUAGGUCCCAAGGGUAUGGCUGUUCGCCAUUUAAAGUGGUACGCGAGCUGGGUUUAGAACGUCGUGAGACAGUUCGGUCCCUAUCUGCCGUGGGCGCUGGAGAACUGAGGGGGGCUGCUCCUAGUACGAGAGGACCGGAGUGGACGCAUCACUGGUGUUCGGGUUGUCAUGCCAAUGGCACUGCCCGGUAGCUAAAUGCGGAAGAGAUAAGUGCUGAAAGCAUCUAAGCACGAAACUUGCCCCGAGAUGAGUUCUCCCUGACUCCUUGAGAGUCCUGAAGGAACGUUGAAGACGACGACGUUGAUAGGCCGGGUGUGUAAGCGCAGCGAUGCGUUGAGCUAACCGGUACUAAUGAACCGUGAGGGGCUUAACCUUACAACGCCGAAG